CGCUCAACUAUGAAAGCCCGAAUGACUGCGGACAUUCCUCGCAGAGUCCGCUCCACUUAUAGUACACCUGAGUCUGUGAGCACCUUAAGUCAGCAGCAGUUAUAGCAUGUCUAUGUGGUUUCUUAGGUAGAUGGUAUGUCAAAGUCUCUUGCUCGAAAAUGUACUAAGCGAUCCAUUGUGGCGCACAAGAGUGUCUGUGUACUUGGAAUAAUAGUGCAGCUAACUGGCCAAUACGUUUUGAAAGAAUGUACAUUUUUGCCAACUACUUCAGCCCACCAUUAUGGAUAAGUGCUGCCACCCAUUUACAAAGUUAUGCAUAAUCUAGGGUAGGUACGCUUGAGUGACGCUGUCUGUGUGGCGUCACUGCACUCAGACCCACCCCUCACUCCUCCACAGUUCCAGCCUCUGAUCCAUAUGAUCACUUCUGGCUCCAAAAAUCAAGAUGGCGACAGCAAAAAUGCCAAAAUCAAGGUUUCAAAGCAGGAGUCCACAAACCAAUGGGUGGCAUCACUGUUCUGCCUUACCAGGGUUAUUUUAUUAGUCAGUAUGUUUAGUUGUCACUUAGCACCCCCUGCUGGUGGAUUUUUAUAGCAGUCAUUUAAAUCACAUAGUGUGUGUCUCUGGCUGAUGACAUCAUCAGUAGGCGACUGAUCAGUUCUCCAUGUCAGAGCCAGGGGAGAGCUCAUGCCCUUUUUUAUCGGACAUCAUUCUGGUGUUCGGGCGUUUGAAAGCAUCGUUGUUUUACCCUACUGCCAGUUACCUCAUUAAAGACAGUCAACUUGAUACAUCACUGUCUGCGUGAUAAUUGGGGAUGGAGUUUAUCUGCCUGUGAAUUUAUGCAAGACGUAUGAAGAGGACAGGACAAUCACGGCAAAACAUCUGAGCAGCAAGCUCCCACCUUCUCUGCGUUCUGGUUAACAAUAUGCUGGCUGAAGCUCUCCAGUUGAUCCGGUGUGGGGACAGAGUCUGGAGCGAUGCCAUAAGGCAUGGAGCACAGGACAUCAC
This is a long non-coding RNA of Epinephelus lanceolatus (giant grouper), 1005 nucleotides long. RefSeq lists it as uncharacterized. The record is from RefSeq and is a predicted model, not a curated record. Lineage: Eukaryota; Metazoa; Chordata; Actinopteri; Perciformes; Serranidae.